Molecule: non-coding RNA, 68 nt
Organism: Ictidomys tridecemlineatus (thirteen-lined ground squirrel)
Lineage: Eukaryota; Metazoa; Chordata; Mammalia; Rodentia; Sciuridae
Source: Rfam
GUUGUGGCUCAAAGGUAGGGUGCUUGCCUAGCAUGCAUGAGGCACUGGGUUCGAUCCUCAGCACAACA